AUGCAGGUGAGACACACGGGGGGAGAGCACUCACAGUGAAUGUGACCUACACUGUGGACACGGCGGCCUCUGGGUGACAGCAGCUCGGGGACAGGUUUUUUUUUUGGUGUACGUUCAUAACUUCUGUUACCCGCACAGCUAGAAACUUUGCCUGGGAAUUUCUGUGGGCAAGAAUUUCAGUCAUUGUUUCUGGUCGUGUGUGUAAUGUGCAUCCCAGUACAAGCGGUGGAGCUGUGGAUGGAGGAGUCGUAUUCUUCUGGAGACUCGUGAGGAGGUCGAGGGGCGUUUUCAGACUUAAAUGAGUCUGAAGUGGAUGAGAGGCCAAACACUCUCUGCAGAACCUGACAUCUGGUAAACAAGCAGUGGGAAUUACAAGCUCCCAGUCCGCUGUUGGCAGGAUUUAUGUCUUAUCACUCUUUAAUAGCCUGCAUCAAGUAUCUACACUCGUACCGGGAAGCCAGUCUGGGUGAUUGAAAGUAGAACAUAGGUCCUGUCUGAUUUUGAAGGCGUUGCUCUCCCAGCAAGCAGCAGGAGCAGGAGCCACUAUUCUGGUUAUGGAGGUGCAGCUUCCAGUAAUUUGGUUGUGACAUAUACCAGCGAGGGCAUGGCAGUGAUGUUACCACAUGCAGCCGGAGCAUCAGUAUGUCAGGUAUGUUGGUGAACCAGCUCCACGCAGCCUAAGAUGGGUGUAACUCUGUACUUAUCUGGAGAGUGGAAUGAUUUAUUAAAAAGUGCGGACAAUAAAAAGGCUCCCUGCCUCUGACAGUAAACUGGUGGUACACGGAAACUGCUAAACUAAAAUGAGCACGUGAUUCAUUCUGAGAAGGAGGCCAAGGUAAAGACAAUCAAUCGACACAAGGGGAAAGUAUAUGAUGUGUAUUGUUGUAUAUGUGUAUUGUAUGGUUUUUUGGCUGAGUAUGAUUGUGUAUCUGCUCCUACAGAAAUAAACCUGUCACUCUAC
This is a long non-coding RNA of Platichthys flesus (European flounder), 961 nucleotides long. RefSeq lists it as uncharacterized. The transcript is spliced from 2 exons. Lineage: Eukaryota; Metazoa; Chordata; Actinopteri; Pleuronectiformes; Pleuronectidae. The record is from RefSeq and is a predicted model, not a curated record.